GACGAACGCUGGCGGCGUGCUUAACACAUGCAAGUCGAACGGAAAGGCCCUGCUUUUGUGGGGUGCUCGAGUGGCGAACGGGUGAGUAACACGUGAGUAACCUGCCCUUGACUUUGGGAUAACUUCAGGAAACUGGGGCUAAUACCGGAUAGGAGCUCCUGCUGCAUGGUGGGGGUUGGAAAGUUUCGGCGGUUUGGGAUGGACUCGCGGCUUAUCAGCUUGUUGGUGGGGUAGUGGCUUACCAAGGCUUUGACGGGUAGCCGGCCUGAGAGGGUGACCGGAAACAUUGGGACUGAGAUACGGCCCAGACUCCUACGGGAGGCAGCAGUGGGGAAUAUUGCACAAUGGGCGGAAGCCUGAUGCAGCAACGCCGCGUGCGGGAUGACGGCCUUCGGGUUGUAAACCGCUUUCGCCUGUGACGAAGCGUGAGUGACGGUAAUGGGUAAAGAAGCACCGGCUAACUACGUG
This 468-nucleotide ribosomal RNA is filed under the name uncultured bacterium. RNAcentral's name for it is "partial 16S ribosomal RNA". It matches the Rfam family "Bacterial small subunit ribosomal RNA", at positions 28 to 507 of the family's 1533-position model. The record is from RNAcentral.